This 465-nucleotide ribosomal RNA is filed under the name uncultured bacterium. RNAcentral's name for it is "partial 16S ribosomal RNA". It matches the Rfam family "Bacterial small subunit ribosomal RNA", at positions 28 to 507 of the family's 1533-position model. The record is from RNAcentral.
GACGAACGCUGGCGGCGUGCUUAACACAUGCAAGUCGAACGGAAAGGCCCCUUUGGGGGUCCUCGAGUGGCGAACGGGUGAGUAACACGUGAGUAACCUGCCCUUGACUUCGGGUUAACUUCAGGAAACUGGGGCUAAUACCGGAUAGGAAUCCUUGCUGCAUGGUGGGGGUUGGAAAGCUUCGGCGGUUUUGGAUGGACUCGCGGCUUAUCAGCUUGUUGGUGGGGUAGUGGCUUACCAAGGCUUUGACGGGUAGCCGGCCUGAGAGGGCGACCGGCCACAUUGGGACUGAGAUACGGCCCAGACUCCUACGGGAGGCAGCAGUGGGGAAGAUUGCACAAUGGGCGGAAGCCUGAUGCAGCAACGCCGCGUGCGGGAUGACGGCCUUCGGGUUGUAAACCGCUUUCAGCAGGGGCGAAGCUUGUGGUGACGGUACCUGCAGAAGAAGCACCGGCUAACUACGUG